CAGCGAGGCUCCGCCCCCUGACGUCACGCGCCCCUGCCGCGGUGCAUUGUGGGCCCGCAGAGAUGGCGGCGCUCAGUGCGGGAAGGACGGCGGCGGCGGGCCUCCUGCGAGCCCAGAGCCUCGGGCUGUGGCGGGGGCUGGGCACCGCCGCUCCCCUCCUGCAGCAAGCCCAGGCCAAGUCCCACAGUGCCAAGGCUGAGGGCACGUUCCAGGUGACGAUGCUGCCGGGGGACGGCGUGGGCCCCGAGCUCAUGCACGCCGUCAAGGAGGUCUUCAAGGCUGGCAGUGUCCCCGUGGUCUUUGACGAGCACCACCUGAGCGAGGUGCAGAACACGGCGUCCGAGGAGAAGCUCGACCGGGUCGUGGAUUCCAUGAAGGAGAGCAAGGUGGCCCUCAUUGGGAAGAUCCACACGCCCAUGGAGUACAAGGGAGACCUGGCGUCCUAUGACAUGAGGCUCAGGAGGAAGCUGGACCUCUUUGCCAACGUGGUGCACGUCAAGAGUCUGCCUGGGUACCAGACCCGGCACAACAACCUGGACCUGGUGAUCAUCAGGGAGCAGACAGAGGGCGAGUACAGCUCCCUGGAGCACGAGAGUGUCAAGGGGGUGAUUGAGUGCCUGAAGAUCAUCACCAGGGCCAAGUCCCAGCGCAUCGCCAAGUUCGCCUUCGACUACGCCACCAAGAAGGGCCGGGCCAAGGUCACAGCUGUGCACAAGGCCAACAUCAUGAAGCUGGGGGAUGGGCUGUUCCUGCAGUGCUGCAAGGAGGUGGCUGAGCUCUACCCCAAAAUCAAAUUCGACACCAUGAUCAUCGACAACUGCUGCAUGCAGCUGGUGCAGAACCCCUACCAGUUUGACGUGCUGGUGAUGCCCAACCUGUACGGGAACAUCGUGGACAACCUGGCGGCGGGUUUGGUGGGCGGCGCCGGCGUCGUGCCCGGCGAGAGCUACAGCGCCGAGUACGCCGUGUUCGAGCUGGGAGCCCGGCACCCCUUCGCCCAGGCCGUGGGCAGGAACAUCGCCAACCCCACGGCCAUGCUGCUCUCGGCCUCCAACAUGCUGCGGCACCUCAACCUGGAAUAUCACUCCAACAUGAUCUCAGAUGCUGUGAAGAAGGUGAUCAAAGGUGGAAAAGUGAGUGUGGGGUGAUGAGGAGGGAGGGCUGGUGCCGAGUUCUCUGCUUCCUCUCCUCUCUCCAGCUGGAAUUCUGGCACCUCUUUCCAGCUGGAGUUUUGGGUUCUCUUCUCUCCAGCUGGAGUUCUGGGUCCUCUUUCCAGCUGGAGUUCUGGCUCAUCUUUCCAGCUGGAAUUUUGGCUCCUCUCCUCUUUCCAGCUGGGAUUUUGGGUCCUCUACUCUUUCAUCUGGAGUUCUGGCUCCUCUACUCUCUCCAGUCCCAGGCCCACAGCUCUGUCCAGCCCCUGUGGUCACCAUGUCCUGGCGAGGGAGGGACUUCUGGCAGGGCUGGGGGAUUCUCCACAUCCCUGUCCCCGUUUGGAUCCUGGCAGGGCUCUCAGGGAUGUUCCCCAGCCCCAUUCCCAAUCCCAGGUCCUGGCAGGGCUCUCAGGGAUGUUCCCCAGCCCCAUUCCCAAUCCCAGGUCCUGGCAGGGCUCUCAGGGAUGUUCCCCAGGGAUGUUCCCCAAGUCCUGGCAGGGCUCUCAGGGAUGUUCCCCAGCCCCAGGUCCUGGCAGGGCUCUCGGGGUGGCCGUUCUCUCUCUGUCCCUGCUGUCCCAUCCCAGCUGUUCCCUCAUUCACGGCCCCUUUUCCCCGUCUCUCCCCUCCCUGUUUGGAUUUGCAGGUCCGGACUCGGGAUCUGGGCGGUUACUCCACCACCUCUGACUUCGUCAAGUCCGUCAUUGACAACCUGCACCCCCACUAUGGGGCUUAGGGCCCCCAGCAGCUCCCCAGUGCCUCAGCCCCUCCCCAAAUCCCCUCCCCAAAUCCCUCCCCAGGCAGGAGGGAGCCCCAGAACCCCCAGGAAUCCUUUCCCUACCCCAUCCCCCAGCAGGGAUCACUCCAUGGAGGGACCAGUGUGGAUUUUGGGGUUCACUGAGGUGGUGUGGGGGGAGUGGGGCAGUGCCCCAAACUCACAGGCAGCUCUUAGGGACAUUGGGACCACCCAGGGUGGUUCUGGGAACCCCAGUCCCAUGGGAUCCCUUGGGUUAUCAUUCCUGUGGGAUCAAUGGGAUUUGGGAUCCCUGUGAGAACAGGACCUUGAACUGUGGGAUCCCAAUCCCAUGGGAUCCCAUGAUUGUGGGACCCCCAUUCUCAUGGGAUUCCGUGAUUGUGGGACCCCCAUUCUCAUGGGAUCCCGUGAUUGUGGGACCCCCAUUCUUACGGGAUUGUGACUGUUGGACCAAUGGGAUUGUGGGUUCCCUGUGAGAACAGGACCUUGAAUUCUGGGGACCCCCCCCCCAUUCUUUUGGGAUCCCUGUGACUGGGACCAGCAUGGUUUGUGAGAUUCUCAUGGGACCACAACUGUGGGACCUCCAUUCCCAUGGGAUCCUCAUGAAUGUGGGAAUCCCAUUCCUAUGGGACCAGUGUGGCUGUGGGAUCUGUAACCUCAUUCCUGUGGGACCAGUGUGACUGUGGGAUCCCUGUACCCCCCUUCCCGUGGGAUCCAUCCCAUCCAGCUUUUAGCAAUAAACAGGGUGACAUCCCCACCCUCCAUCCCCUUGGCAGCUGCUGGCAGGGUCCCCAUGCAGGGACAAUUCCAGGCAUGAGGUGACCUUGGAACACUCCAAACCUGGGGCAGGGUGGGGGAGCUGCACCCUGAGCCCCCAGUCCGUGGGAAUUGGGGGGUUCCAGGGCUGAUCCCAUAAUCCCAGUGCCCUGUGGGGCUGUGCAAUGUCUCAUGCUCUGUAUUCUGCUUUGCUAAUAAAGGGUCCAGCGCUUCCCUCACA
Molecule: RNA transcript, 2899 nt
Organism: Oenanthe melanoleuca
Lineage: Eukaryota; Metazoa; Chordata; Aves; Passeriformes; Muscicapidae
Gene: IDH3B
Gene name: isocitrate dehydrogenase (NAD(+)) 3 non-catalytic subunit beta
Exons: 12
Source: RefSeq, a predicted model, not a curated record